GUCUGUUGCGCGCAGCGCCCUUGGCGGGCGUCCGGCGCGGCACAGGCUCGGGUGGCGGCGGCAGGUCGAGCGUGAGGGCCUCGAUGGCCACCUCGAUCGGGCGCAUGCGAUCCCUCAGACCCGAUGCGACAUCGGCGAGUUCGACAAACCGCGCGGCCCAGGCGCGCACCUCGACGGGCACGUCCUCUGUCGACCACGCAUAGGUCGACAAUGCGCUCACAGGUUCCUCGGGUUUGCCGUUGGCCUGGGCACUUUGUGCAUCUGGACACAAAAGAUCGCGCGUCUUGGUCGACGACGGCGACGCGUCCCACAUGUCGACCAUGGCCGAUUCGUCGUCUCGGUCGGGAUCGUACCGACCCACGGUGAGGCUCGUCUGCUGGGCCGUGGCACGACGCUGGGCGGCACGCGUGGCCUCGACCACUGCCGCGCCAAUGAUUUCAGCCAGUGCCGGCGUGUUGCCGAGAUGGGCAUCGCCGGCACCGUCGGCAUCAUCAUUCGUGGUGCUGGCGUUGACCGUGUUCUCAUCGGUCGCCACAGGAUUGAUGUCGACCAUAGAUGUUUUUGUAGGCGUGGCAUCGUCUUUGGUCUCAUUGUCCUUGUCAUCGUCUUCAUGCUUUGCCGUGCGUCUGCGACGCUUGGCCGGGCGAGCAGCGGCGGCUGCCGCACGGGCCGCCUUGCGCGCGGCCACAGCCUUGGUCUUGGCCACCUUGGCCGAGCGCUUUUCUGCCGCCGCGGCCGCCGCCUCGGCGCACGCGCGCACAAGAUCGGGUGUGACGUGCUCAUAGACGGCGGCCGUGAUCACCUCGCGCUUCAUCGACGUUGUGGGCCGCAUUGGAUCGACGCGCACGACGAUCGUGGCGUUAUCAUCACCAUCACCUCCUCCACAUUGGAUCACGGCCCGGCGUAUGCGUGCGCCUUCCAUGUAGGCGGCGAGGUCGCGUCGGAGCGCGGCCUGCUCAAGGCGUAUGCCGCGCGUGGCGGCCGUAAGCGGGUCCAGUUGCGCCCUCAGACGGCUCCAACGGGUGCAAAACAGGCGCACCGCCGUGGCCUGGUCGGUGCAGUCGGCCAGCAUAUCCGCUCCUGACACAUCCUCGGCCGAGCACGCUGCACCACCGUCGUCGGGCAUUUCAUAGACGGCCUCAUUGUCCUGGAGACCUCCAUCGCUGUUGCCUUGCCAUGAUGCAUGGUCGUCGCCGUUAUUGUCAUCACCACGUUGGUCGUCAUACUCGCCGUCCCCAUGCAGAUCAUGAUUCUGGUCCUGGUCGUAGAUCGGGUCGUCCAUUCCGUGGCGGCCAAGACGCAGAGAAAAAUAGUAGGCG
This 1319-nucleotide long non-coding RNA is filed under the name Pandoravirus celtis. RNAcentral's name for it is "hypothetical ncRNA". The record is from RNAcentral.